RNAcentral lists this long non-coding RNA (743 nucleotides) under Nicotiana benthamiana. RNAcentral's name for it is "long non-coding RNA (NBEN_LNC017784)". Lineage: Eukaryota; Viridiplantae; Streptophyta; Magnoliopsida; Solanales; Solanaceae. The record is from RNAcentral.
AAUAAGGGUAUAGUUGGAAGAAUGGGGAGUGUUAUUUUAGUCUAGCUUUUAACCAUAGAAGUUCAAUUUAUCUUAUUACCUCUCUAAUUCUAGUGUUUCAAGAGCAGUCAAAAAUAUUUCACGGGACCAUAUAUACUUAGUGUUUUAAUAAUGAGAAACACUAGAUCGCCUAAUUAAAAGUUCGGCUUGAAUUUAUUUUUCUAACCUAAUUAAGAGAAUUAUUGCGGACCAUGUUGUUUAAUUCAGAAUUAUUACACCAGAAAUUAGCACGGCGUGACUCCUAAAGAAGAUGGUCUUGGUGGAAUGUCCCCAUUUGGAUGGUCUUAGCAAAAUGUCUCUCUUCUUUACUUGAACACCAUAAUUUUUUAUUUUUAAACCUUGAAAUUCUUAUCUUAUGGUGGAAAAUAAAAGUUAAUGCUGGAUUUAUUGUUGAAAUCAUUUGAAUGUUGAUAAUUUGUGUUUAAACUUUUAGUUCACAAAUUUGUUUAAUUUAUUGUAAAAUUCUCAAAACUUCAUUAUUGGACCUAAGUAAGUAUUGAACAAGACAAAGUUGAUCUUUUUGAUUUAGUAUUAUUUGACUAAAUUAGAGAUUAGGGAUUGUUUGUGUUAGUAGUUGGAAGCUUUAUUUCAAGUUUGAGAUCAUUUGGAACUUGCUUGUUAUUUGAUCGAAAUUGAAGUUGUAAAUUCGAAUAACACUUUAUUAAAAUUACCUAGAAAAAAUAUAUCAAUUCGAUAUACUUCAG